ACUAAGAUGGCAGAAUUAAGUGCAAUAAUUUUAAGAAUUAUAUAUGAAUAUUAUUCUCUUAGUA
RNAcentral lists this transfer RNA (64 nucleotides) under Ammothea hilgendorfi. RNAcentral's name for it is "tRNA-Leu". Lineage: Eukaryota; Metazoa; Arthropoda; Pycnogonida; Pantopoda; Ammotheidae. The record is from RNAcentral.